UACAGAGGGUGCGAGCGUUGUCCGGAAUCACUGGGCGUAAAGGGCGCGUAGGCGGUCCGGUAAGCGCGUGGUGAAAGCUCGGGGCUCAACCCCGAGUCGGCCAUGCGAACUGCGGGACUGGAGCAGAUCAGAGGCAGGCGGAAUUCCGGGUGUAGCGGUGGAAUGCGUAGAUAUCUGGAGGAACACCGGUGGCGAAGGCGGCGUUCUGGACUGCAACUGGCACUGAGGAACGAAAGCCAGGGGAGCAAACGGG
Molecule: ribosomal RNA, 253 nt
Filed under: uncultured bacterium
Lineage: Bacteria
Description: partial 16S ribosomal RNA
Rfam family: Bacterial small subunit ribosomal RNA
Source: RNAcentral